UGACUAGGACGACCCCUUUAGAACUUAAUACAUUCAGCCUGUGGUUCACAGUUCUCCACUCUCUUAUAUUUAGAUGUUAUUUUUCUGUUCUACCUUCUCUUCAUAGGAACUAAAGUGAAUUGAGUCAGAGAAAAAGAGAAAGAGAGAAGGUAACAUGGAUGCUUGUUUUCUUACCUCAAGAUCAAUCUCUGGUGUUAAAGAGCUUGUCCCGUUCAUCAAAGCGAGAAUCUUUACUUGCCCCAAGAGAAAUUCUGGCCAAUUUGUUACCAGGAAGGUUGCUUCUCCGAUCUCUGUAAAUUGUAAGUAAGAUCUCUUUCAUGGUCAUUUUGAUCUAUAAGAAUGGCCUGAGUAUCGCAAUAACAUGUCUUGGUUUGGGAAUUUGCCUGUCUUGAGUGAAAUUAUUGUAGCUGAUGAGAGCAUUUUGGUUUGAG
RNAcentral lists this long non-coding RNA (431 nucleotides) under Arabidopsis thaliana (thale cress). RNAcentral's name for it is "long non-coding RNA (ATHA_LNC000142)". Lineage: Eukaryota; Viridiplantae; Streptophyta; Magnoliopsida; Brassicales; Brassicaceae. The record is from RNAcentral.